RNAcentral lists this ribosomal RNA (274 nucleotides) under uncultured bacterium. RNAcentral describes it as "partial 16S ribosomal RNA". It matches the Rfam family "Bacterial small subunit ribosomal RNA", at positions 523 to 796 of the family's 1533-position model. The record is from RNAcentral.
AUACGGAGGGUGCAAGCGUUAUUCGGAAUCACUGGGCGUAAAGGACGCGUAGGCGGGCUGGCAAGUCAGAUGUGAAAUCCUACAGCUUAACUGUAGAACUGCAUUUGAAACUGCUAACCUAGAGUAUGGGAGGGGGAGAUGGAAUUAGUGGUGUAGGGGUAAAAUCCGUAGAUAUCACUAGGAAUACCGAAAGCGAAGGCGAUCUCCUGGAACAUAACUGACGCUAAGGCGUGAAAGCGUGGGGAGCAAACAGGAUUAGAAACCCUAGUAGUCC